GACGAACGCUGGCGGCGUGCUUAACACAUGCAAGUCGAACGGAAAGGCACUGCUUUUGUGGGGUGCUCGAGUGGCGAACGGGUGCGUAACACGUGAGUAACCUGCCCUUGACUUUGGGAUAACUUCAGGAAACUGGGGCUAAUACCGGAUAGGAGCUCCUGCUGCAUGGUGGGGGUUGGAAAGUUUCGGCGGUUGGGGAUGGACGCGCGGCUUAUCAGCUUGUUGGUGGGGUAGUGGCUUACCAAGGAUUUGACGGGUAGCCGGCCUGAGAGGGUGACCGGCCACAUUGGGACUGCGAGACGGCCCAGACUCCUACGGGAGGCAGCAGUGGGGAAUAUUGCACAAUGGGCGGAAGCCUGAUGCAGCAACGCCGCGUGCGGGAUGACGGCCUUCGGGUUGUAAACCGCUUUCGCCUGUGACGAAGCGUGAGUGACGGUAAUGGGUAAAGAAGCACCGGCUAACUACGUG
RNAcentral lists this ribosomal RNA (468 nucleotides) under uncultured bacterium. RNAcentral's name for it is "partial 16S ribosomal RNA". It matches the Rfam family "Bacterial small subunit ribosomal RNA", at positions 28 to 507 of the family's 1533-position model. The record is from RNAcentral.